RNAcentral lists this ribosomal RNA (496 nucleotides) under uncultured bacterium. RNAcentral describes it as "partial 16S ribosomal RNA". It matches the Rfam family "Bacterial small subunit ribosomal RNA", at positions 28 to 507 of the family's 1533-position model. The record is from RNAcentral.
GAUGAACGCUGGCGGCGUGCCUAAUACAUGCAAGUCGAGCGAACGGACGAGAAGCUUGCUUUUCUGAUGUUAGCGGCGGACGGGUGAGUAACACGUGGAUAACCUACCUAUAAGACUGGGAUAACUUCGGGAACCGGAGCUAAUACCGGAUAAUAUUUUGAACCGCAUGGUUCAAAAGUGAAAGACGGUCUUGCUGUCACUUAUAGAUGGAUCCGCGCUGCAUUAGCUAGUUGGUAAGGUAACGGCUUACCAAGGCAACGAUGCAUAGCCGACCUGAGAGGGUGAUCGGCCACACUGGAACUGAGACACGGUCCAGACUCCUACGGGAGGCAGCAGUAGGGAAUCUUCCGCAAAGGGCGAAAGCCUGACGGAGCAACGCCGCGUGAGUGAUGAAGGUCUUCGGAUCGUAAAACUCUGUUAUUAGGGAAGAACAUAUGUGUAAGUAACUGUGCACAUCUUGACGGUACCUAAUCAGAAAGCCACGGCUAACUACGUG